RNAcentral lists this ribosomal RNA (254 nucleotides) under uncultured bacterium. RNAcentral's name for it is "partial 16S ribosomal RNA". It matches the Rfam family "Bacterial small subunit ribosomal RNA", at positions 524 to 776 of the family's 1533-position model. The record is from RNAcentral.
UACGUAGGGUGCAAGCGUUGUCCGGAAUUAUUGGGCGUAAAGAGCUCGUAGGCGGUCUGUCGCGUCGGCUGUGAAAACCCGGAGCUCAACUCCGGGCCUGCAGUCGAUACGGGCAGACUGGAGUUCGGCAGGGGAGACUGGAAUUCCUGGUGUAGCGGUGAAAUGCGCAGAUAUCAGGAGGAACACCGGUGGCGAAGGCGGGUCUCUGGGCCGUACCUGGACACUGAACCGCGACAGCAUGGGGAGCAAACAGG